Molecule: non-coding RNA, 26 nt
Filed under: Mus musculus (house mouse)
Lineage: Eukaryota; Metazoa; Chordata; Mammalia; Rodentia; Muridae
Source: RNAcentral
UAAUGGGCUUACCAGGUUCUCACGCC